This 232-nucleotide non-coding RNA is filed under the name Minutocellus polymorphus. Lineage: Eukaryota; Bacillariophyta; Thalassiosirophyceae; Cymatosirales; Cymatosiraceae. The record is from RNAcentral.
CAAGCUUUCUUGGGAAAUUCCCCGGAUGUAAGGACUGAGAGAGUCAACUCGAAAGAGUUUUACCGGCGCGGAUGCCGCUUCCUCAUUGCGAAGACGGUCUUUCUUCUCCUCUUUGGAGUAGGGAGGCAAGAGCACAUAUUGGGAUAGUUCGGCUCCGUCAACCAGCCGCCAUCUGCAUUUCGGUGCAUCGAUUGAGCAAAGUUAUGCCAUCAAGAACUCAACGGGGGUCACU